GUGCUCACUUCAGCAGCACAUACACUAAAAUUGAAACGAUACAGAGAAGAUCAGCAUGGCCCCUGCGCACAUAAUUUUAUUCAUACUAUGGAGCAAUUUAAGAUGUAA
This is a small nuclear RNA of Ochotona princeps (American pika), 108 nucleotides long. NCBI's taxonomy places the organism in Eukaryota, Metazoa, Chordata, Mammalia, Lagomorpha, Ochotonidae. The record is from RefSeq and is a predicted model, not a curated record.